GAUGAACGCUGGCGGCGUGCCUAAUACAUGCAAGUCGAGCGAACAGACGAGGAGCUUGCUCCUCUGACGUUAGCGGCGUACGGGUGAGUAACACGUGGAUAACCUACCUAUAAGACUGGGAUAACUUCGGGAAACCGGAGCUAAUACCGGAUAAUAUAUUGAACCGCAUGGUUCAAUAGUGAAAGACGGUUUUGCUGUCACUUAUAGAUGGAUCCGCGCCGCAUUAGCUAGUUGGUAAGGUAACGGCUUACCAAGGCGACGAUGCGUAGCCGACCUGAGAGGGUGAUCGGCCACACUGGAACUGAGACACGGUACAGACUCCUACGGGAGGCAGCAGUAGGGAAUCUUACGCAAUGGGCGAAAGCAUGACGGAGCAACGCCGAGUGAGUGAUGAAGGUCUUCGGAUCGUAAAACUCUGUUAUUAGGGAAGAACAAAUGUGUAAGUAACUAUGCACGUCUUGACGGUACCUAAUCAGAAAGCCACGGCUAACUACGUG
RNAcentral lists this ribosomal RNA (497 nucleotides) under uncultured bacterium. RNAcentral's name for it is "partial 16S ribosomal RNA". It matches the Rfam family "Bacterial small subunit ribosomal RNA", at positions 28 to 507 of the family's 1533-position model. The record is from RNAcentral.